Molecule: non-coding RNA, 75 nt
Organism: Podarcis lilfordi (Lilford's wall lizard)
Lineage: Eukaryota; Metazoa; Chordata; Lepidosauria; Squamata; Lacertidae
Source: the annotation of a GenBank genome assembly
ACUCACUGUGGUGCAAUGGGUUAGUGCAUCUUGCUGUCAACUAGAAGGUUGGUGGUUCGAGCCCACCCAGGGAUG